GGGCCGCUAGCUCAGCUGGUAGAGCAACGCCCUUUUAAGGCGUGGGUCUCAGGUUCGAACCCUGAGCGGCUCA
This 73-nucleotide transfer RNA is filed under the name Spirochaetaceae bacterium. Its description in RNAcentral is "tRNA-Lys". It matches the Rfam family "tRNA". From Rfam's summary of the family: Transfer RNA (tRNA) molecules are approximately 80 nucleotides in length. Their secondary structure includes four short double-helical elements and three loops (D, anti-codon, and T loops). Further hydrogen bonds mediate the characteristic L-shaped molecular structure. tRNAs have two regions of fundamental functional importance: the anti-codon, which is responsible for specific mRNA codon recognition, and the 3' end, to which the tRNAs corresponding amino acid is attached (by aminoacyl-tRNA synthetases). tRNAs cope with the degeneracy of the genetic code in two manners: having more than one tRNA (with a specific anti-codon) for a particular amino acid; and 'wobble' base-pairing, i.e. permitting non-standard base-pairing at the 3rd anti-codon position. The record is from RNAcentral. Lineage: Bacteria; Pseudomonadati; Spirochaetota; Spirochaetia; Spirochaetales; Spirochaetaceae.